RNAcentral lists this transfer RNA (549 nucleotides) under Pseudomonas syringae. RNAcentral's name for it is "partial 16S-23S ribosomal RNA intergenic spacer". The stretch from base 124 to 197 matches the Rfam family "tRNA". The record is from RNAcentral. Lineage: Bacteria; Pseudomonadati; Pseudomonadota; Gammaproteobacteria; Pseudomonadales; Pseudomonadaceae.
AUCGACGACUCAGCUGCACCAUAAGCACCCACACGAAUUGCUUGAUUCAUUGAAGAAGACGAUUAGAAGCAGCUUUAAGCUCCAAGCUGAUAGCUCAACGCUAGCGGCUACAAGCUCGAAAUUGGGUCUGUAGCUCAGUUGGUUAGAGCGCACCCCUGAUAAGGGUGAGGUCGGCAGUUCGAAUCUGCCCAGACCCACCAAUUUUGUGUGGGAAACGCCUGUAGAAAUACGGGGCCAUAGCUCAGCUGGGAGAGCGCCUGCCUUGCACGCAGGAGGUCAGCGGUUCGAUCCCGCUUGGCUCCACCAUUUACUGCUUCUGUUUGAAAGCUUAGAAAUGAGCAUUCCACCCCGAGAGAUUGAAGGGUGCGUGAAUGUUGAUUUCUAGUCUUUGAUUAGAUCGUUCUUUAAAAAUUUGGGUAUGUGAUAGAAAGAAAUAUAGACCGGGCACCUCUUUCACUGGUGCGUGUCCGGGCUAAGGUAAAGUUUGUGAAAUGCAAACUUUCGGCGAAUGUCGUCUUCACAGUAUAACCAGAUUGCUUGGGGUUAUAU